GGCAGUUCUUGGUGAUGCACCCUGGAACCGACCUCCUCCUCUCUGGUUCCUGGUGUGUCACCCCAAGAACCGCA
Myotis davidii is the source of this 74-nucleotide non-coding RNA. The record is from Rfam. Lineage: Eukaryota; Metazoa; Chordata; Mammalia; Chiroptera; Vespertilionidae.